ACUCAGAAGCACUGCGGCUUUCUGCUUCCUUCCGUACCUUGUUUAACACAUCCAGCCCUGCAACAUCUCACUUGACUCCAGUCUACACACCUUCAUUUCCUCACAGCCAGGCUGUAAGUAAGUAGUAUUGGAUUCACAGGUAUGACGACAGUUUGAAAUUCCAAAGACAGGGAACAGUAUCUUUUUACAGCAUGUUCAGAGGCAGUGCUGGGGCCAGCAGUUCCCAAGGGCAGGAACACUGUCUGGUUUAUCUUUGUUAUGUCAUUUCCUGGAUGGCCCCCAGUGGGAAUGUUUCCCGGUGCUCCCUCAGGAAUGUUAGGACAGCCAUGGAGGAAAGCAAGAACCACCCGAUUCUGACAUCACACCAUUCUAAACAAUACUAAUGAUCUUCAGCACCAAAGGAGCUGAACAAAUAGGAGUAAAAGGAAAGUGGCCUCAACGUCGCUGAGAAGGUCGUCAGAGAAUUGAGCCAAGAUGAAUAAUAUCUUGUCCUCAUGUCCAGAUAAAUCACAGUCCAGAGUACCAUGAAAACUUGUGGGCACGGAUGCAGAAUUGCACCCUACAACUCUCCAGGAAGUGGAAAGCCUGGGAGAGGGGCCAGAAAAUGGAAUACAUGUCUGGGAGAAACACUGUCUGCUUCUCCAAACGAGGCAAAGAUGAAGACUGAGAACAGAUAGCCAGACUGCUUGAUGGUAGAUCCUGACGCAAGUCCCGGAUGGCGGGAUGGUGUAUGAGCCCCUCCCAGAGCCCUCACCCAGGGGCGAGCAGGAGCGGGAGAGACAUGGUCGGUGGAUUUGUAGCUGGCGAUGGUCCAACAACUGUAGGUGGUGAGGGCUGGGCAAGGGAUUGCUGCCCCAGGAGCCAGGCGGGAAUGUCUCCUGACUGUGCUCAGCCCUGCCCGGUGCUGCCGUUUUGUUAGUAACUUGCAUGAAGACAGAGCAAGGCCGCUGAUCAUACGGGGGGAUGACACAGAGCUGGAAUCUAAUUCUUGGGAUGUCGAAUCAAGAUUUGCAAAGAUGAAGACCCAUCACCCUGGAAGAAUGAGAAGAAACAGGCAAAAUAGAAUCUAAAACUCUGAGCGUCACACAACCCACCCUAUAAGGAAAGAAUGGAGAGUUCUGGCUCAACACCAUGCUGUGCAAGGAGCAGGUUGGGGGAGAAAAAAACGGAGUGUCCUGAAUUCAACCCAGAGUUUUAAACACUGUCACAAAAGCUGGUGGGCUGCACUCUAGAGCAGUGUCCCCAAACUUCUGUUUCUGUGGGCCACUUUCAUGAUGUCUGCCAUAACUGCAGGCCACCUGUGCUCUUGCCAGCAAGAAAAUGAGGACUUCAGUCCUGCAACCACAAGGAGCUGAGUUCCGCCUGCAGCCCAAGUGAGCACGAAGCAGGAUGUCCCCUGGAGACCCCAGGAUGAAGCUCCACUUGCUGAUACCUGAAUUUGACUCUGGUGAGAUUUGUGCUGGACUUCUGAUCAGCAGGACACUGAGAUUAAAAAAGGUGUCAGUUGGACUUGCCGAUGAUUUCUGGAGCCCAGCCGGCCUCUGAGAUUUCGGGUUACCUCAGUUUCUUCACCUCCAAGUCUAGCAGGUAUGCAUCAGGCACAGGACAGAGGACUGAGGAGACAGCAGCCCCAGGAGGCUGGUUCCUGAUCUGCUGUCUGCUGCCUGGGAGGCCCCAUCAGAAAACUGGGGCUGGCGGCACAUUAGACUCUCCUGCGCCUGCGCCUGCCCCUGCCUGUCUCCACGAGGCACCCUGCAGGCUUGGCCAGGAUGGUGGCUGAGGAGUGGGGAAAUCUGGGGAGGCGAGCUCAGCUGAGCUGCUGUGCAGGCUAAGCCUGCCGCUGCUGGGGUCAGCCUUCAUCAGGGUGCCUGGCUCUGCCCUCCUCUUCUCUAGGGCAAAGUCCUAAUGCUGUAGCAGCCGGGAUCUGCCCCUCCCCACCUCCUGCCCCUGCUCUUGAUGGGAAACAUGCCCAUCGUUGAAUGUCCCAACCAGGCAGCACUCCUUUCAUUCCCUUUGUCUCUCCAUGCACUAUUUGUCUUGUCUGGGUGCAUCUGCCUCACCCCCUACAAAAUUCCCCUCCCCGGAAAGCUCCCCGGUGACUCCCCAACUCUCUCCUCUGGCUGGAUGAUGUUAGAUGCUUCUCCCAAGCUCCCACACACACCCUCUUGGCUUCCCCUGCAUAUAUCCACCUCCCUCACAGAUCACAAGCUCCCCAAAGGCAGGGGCUGGCACCACUUUAUCUUUCUUCACGGCGCUUAGCCCAGAGCCUGCAAAGAAGUGCCUGUCAAAUAAAAGAACCAACAGUGAACAUGGCAUGAAUAAAUGAGUGAAUGAAUCAUGUGGGCAUGUGUGAGAGCACAUCGAUUGCACAGACCAUCAGGGAGGGCAGCUCAGGGAAACUGUUUGUCCGGGGACAGGCCAGCUCUGCAACUGUAAGUGAGCAGCUAGCAGCAAGCCGGGGCAUGACCGUCAAAGGGGCCAGGCCUGGGCCCAAGGCAGAACUCC
This is a long non-coding RNA of Callithrix jacchus (white-tufted-ear marmoset), 2505 nucleotides long. RefSeq lists it as uncharacterized. The record is from RefSeq and is a predicted model, not a curated record. NCBI's taxonomy places the organism in Eukaryota, Metazoa, Chordata, Mammalia, Primates, Cebidae.